This is a long non-coding RNA of Helianthus annuus (common sunflower), 652 nucleotides long. RefSeq lists it as uncharacterized. The transcript has 5 exons. Lineage: Eukaryota; Viridiplantae; Streptophyta; Magnoliopsida; Asterales; Asteraceae. The record is from RefSeq and is a predicted model, not a curated record.
CUCUAACCCUAAACAUACCCUUCAUUUCGCCCCACCUCAGUCCAAUCGUCUUCCUAAGCGUGUUUCUCUCAAAUCACGAUCUCUUUGCUCACCCGCUGUUUAUGAUCGUUGGCCAGACAGAACGCAUCAACCGCCACUGCCAAAUCCACGAACAACUUCUAGACAUCCGUAGAGAUGAUCAAUCCAAAGAUUGGUUCAUUCUGUUGUUGAUGAACAUUCGGGAUUGUGUGUCCCGGAUGAAACACAAACUGAAGUUUUUUUAAUUAUGGGAGAUAUGCUUCAUAGUUAUGUUAAGUGGCCUAGACAAUAUGUAAAGCUUUUGAACGGAGAUGCACCAAGCAAAUCAAGCGGGUAUAUGGUAAUUAAACAUAUGAAAGAGUUUAUCGACUCUAUACAACAUGAUUUGGUUAACCGACUUUGGAACGAAGAAGAGCAUUUUGAAGAAUCUCAAAUUGAGAAUUUAGUGGUAUAGAUUUAGUGUCGGGAUUUAUUAAAAAGAUGUUUUGAUGUUGUAAGCAUUAGUUUGUGUUUCAUACUUUUGUAACUCGAUAUACUUGAGCGGGUUGUUUAAUACUAGUCAAAUUUUGUCGUGAGCAUAGGUAUUUAUGUAUAAUUGGAAUUUUAUUGGGAAAUAUUAAUGAAAAUUCUGGAA